Chrysochloris asiatica (Cape golden mole) is the source of this 354-nucleotide non-coding RNA. Lineage: Eukaryota; Metazoa; Chordata; Mammalia; Afrosoricida; Chrysochloridae. The record is from the annotation of a RefSeq genome assembly.
AUGGUCACAGAACAUCAAAGCAAGCAGAGGGGGGCUGAUACUAAACCAACAGUCUCCCUCUUUGCACCUUCUGAGCAACAGUUACAGACAUCAAGUGUCUCUUUAGUGUGCUUGGUGAAUCACUUCUACCCCAAAGACGCCAAGGUGACGUGGAAGAUGGACGGUGUCACCCAAACGAGUGACAUCCAGAACAGCUUCACGGAGCAGGAUAGCAAAGACAGCACCUACAGUCUCAGUAGCAUUCUGAAUAUACCGACAUCCACCUACAACAGCCAUAACACCUACUCCUGUGAGGUCAGCCAUAAAACGCUGGCCUCCCCGCACAUCGAGACCUUCAACAAGGAUUCAUGUUAG